Long non-coding RNA from Mustela lutreola (European mink), 314 nucleotides. RefSeq lists it as uncharacterized. The transcript has 2 exons. NCBI's taxonomy places the organism in Eukaryota, Metazoa, Chordata, Mammalia, Carnivora, Mustelidae. The record is from RefSeq and is a predicted model, not a curated record.
CAGGAUUUUCUCUUAUAUCUGAGACUCUACAAGACAAUCAUACUCCAAAUUCAGUGAUUGACUUUCUCAGUUUACACAGAAGGCAAGGGGUGCCUGGAUGACACAGUUGUUUAAGCAGAUGUUUGCCUUUGGCUGAGGUCAUGAUUCCAGUGUACAGGGAUCCAGCCCUGCAUGGGACUACUUGCACCCCAAGGAGCUUGCUUUUUCUUCUCCCUUUGCACGUGAUUCCCCCUGCUUGUGUGCUUCUUCUUCUCUAUGUCUCUCUCUCUCUCUCUUGCUGUCAAUAAACAAAAUAAAAUCUUUUACUAAAUCAA